UGUGGGAGCGAGAUUAAGGCUUGCUGGUUAUCACGUUGAACGUAGUCAGUCUUUUUCUCUCUCCUAUC
Molecule: non-coding RNA, 68 nt
Organism: Anopheles dirus
Lineage: Eukaryota; Metazoa; Arthropoda; Insecta; Diptera; Culicidae
Source: Rfam